This 301-nucleotide ribosomal RNA is filed under the name uncultured bacterium. Its description in RNAcentral is "partial 16S ribosomal RNA". It matches the Rfam family "Bacterial small subunit ribosomal RNA", at positions 509 to 807 of the family's 1533-position model. The record is from RNAcentral.
CAGUAGCCACGGUAAUACGUAGGGUGCGAGCGUUAAUCGGAAUUACUGGGCGUAAAGCGUGCGCAGGCGGUUGUGUAAGACAGGUGUGAAAUCCCCGGGCUUAACCUGGGAACUGCGCUUGUGACUGCACAGCUAGAGUAUGGCAGAGGGGGGUGGAAUUCCGCGUGUAGCAGUGAAAUGCGUAGAGAUGUGGAGGAACACCGAUGGCGAAGGCAGCCCCCUGGGCCAAUACUGACGCUCAUGCACGAAAGCGUGGGGAGCAAACAGGAUUAGAUACCCCCGUAGUCCAUGUCUCUUAUAC